GCGCCCUUAGCUCAGCUGGAUAGAGCGUUGCCCUCCGGAGGCAAAGGCCAGAGGUUCGAAUCCUCUAGGGCGCGCCA
This 77-nucleotide transfer RNA is filed under the name Spartinivicinus marinus. Its description in RNAcentral is "tRNA-Arg". It matches the Rfam family "tRNA". From Rfam's summary of the family: Transfer RNA (tRNA) molecules are approximately 80 nucleotides in length. Their secondary structure includes four short double-helical elements and three loops (D, anti-codon, and T loops). RNAcentral also lists the same sequence under 1 other name. The record is from RNAcentral. Lineage: Bacteria; Pseudomonadati; Pseudomonadota; Gammaproteobacteria; Oceanospirillales; Zooshikellaceae.